GGGAAUAUAACUCAGUUGGUAGAGUAAAGUCUUUGCACGUCUUAAGUCAGCAGUUCAAAUCUGCUUAUUUCCAU
RNAcentral lists this transfer RNA (74 nucleotides) under Pteridomonas danica. Its description in RNAcentral is "tRNA-Ala". It matches the Rfam family "tRNA". From Rfam's summary of the family: Transfer RNA (tRNA) molecules are approximately 80 nucleotides in length. Their secondary structure includes four short double-helical elements and three loops (D, anti-codon, and T loops). The record is from RNAcentral. Lineage: Eukaryota; Dictyochophyceae; Pedinellales.